This 519-nucleotide ribosomal RNA is filed under the name uncultured bacterium. RNAcentral describes it as "partial 16S ribosomal RNA". It matches the Rfam family "Bacterial small subunit ribosomal RNA", at positions 28 to 507 of the family's 1533-position model. The record is from RNAcentral.
GACGAACGCUGGCGGCGUGCCUAAUACAUGCAAGUCGAGCGAGUCUGCCUUGAAGAUCGGAGUGCUUGCACUCUGUGAAACAAGAUACAGGCUAGCGGCGGACGGGUGAGUAACACGUGGGUAACCUGCCCAAGAGAUCGGGAUAACACCUGGAAACAGAUGCUAAUACCGGAUAACAACAGAUGAUGCCUAUCACCUGUUUAAAAGAUGGUUCUGCUAUCACUCUUGGAUGGACCUGCGGUGCAUUAGCUAGUUGGUAGGGUAAAGGCCUACCAAGGCGAUGAUGCAUAGCCGAGUUGAGAGACUGAUCGGCCACAUUGGGACUGAGACACGGCCCAAACUCCUACGGGAGGCAGCAGUAGGGAAUCUUCCACAAUGGACGCAAGUCUGAUGGAGCAACGCCGCGUGAGUGAAGAAGGGUUUCGGCUCGUAAAGCUCUGUUGUUGGUGAAGAAGGACAGGGGUAGUAACUGACCUUUGUUUGACGGUAAUCAAUGAGAAAGUCACGGCUAACUACGUG